UUCACCUCCAUAAUCACCCAAAUGGUACCUCAAAAAAUACAAUUAAAAAUAUACUGCAUUUCCACUGGGAAAUAUUUGAAAGACAUAAAACAGGCAAACAGUCUGCAUAAACCCCUUCUGGUUUAACUUCUGAAGUUUAUGGCAAAAUGGUGCUUUGAGAGGAGUGCAAAAGAAAAACUUGGAAGACCAGGAAAAAACAGGAGCAAAAGAAAACAUCUAAAAGAAAUUUCAGUUCUACAACUGAUCUUCACUACCAGUGGCUUUUGGGACACCUAAGGUUUAACUGUGAUUUAUGUUUGCAGAUAUUAAAUGUGUUAUUUAUCUUUUUAAAAGCUGAACAGCUUGAAUGAUAAAUAUGCUAAGGCGCAUAACUUCAAAUAAGUAUAAAUAAGGCAAAGUUUAUUAGCUUUGUUGGCAAAAUAAUUUACAAAACCUUUUGAAUGUCUACCACCAAUCAAAAUGGUCUUUCUUAUAAAAAGUAAUUAAAACCCUGAUCAAUAUAAGCU
Pezoporus occidentalis (night parrot) is the source of this 506-nucleotide long non-coding RNA. RefSeq lists it as uncharacterized. The transcript has 3 exons. NCBI's taxonomy places the organism in Eukaryota, Metazoa, Chordata, Aves, Psittaciformes, Psittacidae. The record is from RefSeq and is a predicted model, not a curated record.